Molecule: ribosomal RNA, 204 nt
Filed under: Oceanobacillus limi
Lineage: Bacteria; Bacillati; Bacillota; Bacilli; Caryophanales; Bacillaceae
Description: 16S rRNA. Bacterial SSU
Rfam family: Bacterial small subunit ribosomal RNA
Source: RNAcentral
CUUUUUUGGAGAGUUUGAUCUUGGCUCAGGACGAACGCUGGCGGCGUGCCUAAUACAUGCAAGUCGAGCGCGGGAAGCAAGUUGAUCCCUUCGGGGUGAAACUUGUGGAACGAGCGGCGGACGGGUGAGUAACACGUGGGCAACCUGCCUGUAAGACUGGGAUAACUCGCGGAAACGUGAGCUAAUACCGGAUAAUACUUUUUA